Molecule: RNA transcript, 2875 nt
Organism: Centrocercus urophasianus (Greater sage-grouse)
Lineage: Eukaryota; Metazoa; Chordata; Aves; Galliformes; Phasianidae
Gene: PTGS2
Gene name: prostaglandin-endoperoxide synthase 2
Exons: 11
Source: RefSeq, a predicted model, not a curated record
AGUACGAUCUGUGCGAUUUCGAGCGUCCUUGGGAUUUCAGCAGCUGCGAGGAAAGCGUAAAGAAGCCCGCCGGGAUAUGCUCCUGCCUUGUGCGCUGCUGGCUGCUCUCCUGGCUGCUGGCCACGCAGCCAACCCUUGCUGCUCCCUCCCGUGUCAGAACAGAGGUGUGUGUAUGACAACAGGAUUUGAUCGGUAUGAAUGCGACUGCACGAGGACAGGCUAUUAUGGGGAAAACUGUACAACACCGGAAUUCUUCACAUGGCUGAGACUAACGUUGAAACCUACACCAAAUACUGUCCACUACAUUCUCACCCACUUCAAAGGAGUCUGGAACAUCAUCAACAAUGUUUCCUUCUUACGAGAUAUUAUCAUGAGAUACGUGUUGACGUCAAGAUCACACUUGAUUGACAGCCCACCAACAUACAACAGUGACUAUAAUUACAAAUCCUGGGAAGCUUAUUCCAAUCUUUCCUAUUACACAAGAAGCCUUCCACCAGUAGGACAUGACUGUCCAACACCGAUGGGUGUUAAAGGUAAGAAGGAGCUCCCAGAUUCAAAGCUGAUUGUGGAGAAAUUCUUGCUGCGGAGAAAAUUUAUUCCUGACCCACAAGGCACAAAUGUGAUGUUCACAUUCUUUGCCCAGCACUUCACUCAUCAGUUCUUUAAAACAGACCAUAAGAAAGGACCUGGCUUCACUAAAGCUUAUGGCCAUGGGGUUGACUUGAACCACAUUUAUGGAGAGACUCUGGAGAGGCAACUUAAAUUGAGACUUCACAAGGAUGGAAAACUAAAGUACCAGUUGAUUGAUGGAGAAAUGUAUCCACCAACAGUAAAGGACACUCAAGCAGAGAUGAUCUACCCUCCUCACGUUCCUGAGCACCUGCAGUUUUCUGUUGGGCAGGAGGUGUUUGGCUUGGUCCCAGGCCUAAUGAUGUAUGCAACGAUAUGGCUAAGAGAACACAACAGAGUCUGUGAUGUCUUGAAACAGGAGCAUCCAGAGUGGGAUGAUGAGCAGCUAUUUCAGACUACAAGACUCAUAUUGAUAGGAGAAACGAUCAAGAUAGUUAUUGAAGAUUACGUGCAGCACUUGAGUGGCUACCACUUCAAACUGAAGUUUGACCCUGAGCUUCUGUUCAACCAGCGUUUUCAAUACCAGAACCGAAUUGCAGCUGAAUUCAAUACUCUGUACCACUGGCACCCACUGCUGCCUGACACUUUUCAGAUACGUGACCAGGAGUACACUUUCCAGCAGUUCCUCUACAACAACUCCAUAAUGCUUGAACAUGGCCUUUCCCAUAUGGUGAAAUCUUUCUCCAAGCAAAGUGCUGGCAGGGUUGCUGGUGGGAAAAAUAUUCCAGCUGCAGUACAAAAAGUAGCAAAGGCUUCAAUUGACCAAAGCAGAGAAAUGAGAUACCAGUCCUUGAAUGAGUACAGGAAACGCUUCAUGUUGAAACCAUUCAAAUCAUUUGAAGAACUUACAGGAGAAAAAGAAAUGGCUGCUGAACUAGAAGAGCUUUACGGAGACAUAGAUGCUAUGGAACUGUAUCCAGGCCUUCUUGUAGAAAAGCCAAGACCAGGUGCCAUCUUUGGUGAAACAAUGGUAGAAAUUGGCGCACCGUUCUCUCUGAAAGGACUGAUGGGAAAUACAAUAUGCUCCCCUGAGUACUGGAAGCCAAGCACCUUUGGUGGAAAAGUGGGGUUUGAAAUAAUCAAUACUGCCUCCUUACAGAAGCUCAUCUGCAACAAUGUGAAAGGCUGUCCUUUCACUGCUUUCCAUGUCUUAAAUCCUGAACCCACAGAGGCAACUAUUAAUGUUAGUACCUCAAACACAGCAAUGGAAGAUAUCAACCCCACACUACUACUGAAAGAGCGAUCUGCUGAGUUGUAAAUUAGCCAUCUAAUUUAUUUAUUUAUCUAAGUUAUUCUAUUUAUAGCUCUAGUAUUUAGAAAACAAAAAGCAACCUUUUGCAUCUUCACUUUGAGGGUUGCCCUAGAUUCCUUACUCAGAGAAGAAAUGUAGAAGAUGAUCUUCCCAUAAAAUCAGCUGGGGAACUGUAGAUAAAAAGAAUGUUACUUCAGACUGGAGUAGAGCAGCAACCUGGUAUUCUAUGCCCCCAGCCAAAAUUCCUUGGCUACUUGUGGAAAAGGACUUGCUUUAUAUUUCCAUCUGAAUCUCUUGAAUGCUUGUAGAGGCUUGUGUUGUAAUGACUGUGGUACUAGUAUUGUGUCACUAGUACUGUGACUUCUGUAUUUCUGUUGAUUUGUUUAAAGAUGCUGAUCAUGUUCUACAGUACAAACUUGUAACUGGUAGCGCAAAUAGCUGACUCCAGAUCUCCUACAGCAAUUGAUACUAGUGACUGAUUUGAGGUGGUCCAUGGUAUAAAUGCUUUGGGAGAUAGAAGGGUGUUUUUGCUCUUUGUAUUUGAGGCACAGAAGGAAGAAAAUUCAGUAACCUUGUAACAAAAAAAAAGGGGCCAGUACUGUGUUCAAUUAGUGAAAGCUACUUAAUUAUUGAUUAAGCAUGUAGCUAUCAUUCAGACCACCUUUGGAAUGUGUUAGAGCAUCUACUAACAUUCUCAAGGAAAACAGUAUGUCUUGAAAUCAAAGGAAGACAAGUUUGGGCAGAUCUAGUUAUUUUGAGGUAGGUAAAAAAGAAUUCAUUUUAAAAAAAAAAAAAAAAGUUCAUUUCAGCCUUGUUCUUACAAGCUGCUUUGGAAAGGAAUCCAGUUCACUCUACACUUUGUACUCUGAAGCCAUGUUUAUCUGUGACCCAACCUGCUGGGUUUGGCUGGGUUCAAGUUGAUCAUGAUAAAUGUGUAUGUUUGAGAUUAUUUAUUUAAAAUUCUGUGAAUUGUUUUUCACACUAUUUUUAUAG